CUGGAUUGAAUCUCAAAUAUUACAAUUACCACUGUUAACUUGACAGUAGCAAGGAUUCAUUUUUAGUGUAUCAAAACCCAUCGGAGCCCUCACCCAAAAAUAAAAUUUGCUUGCCUCUGAUGCUCACCACCUCGCUGAAUAUGAGAAAGACAGUCAUCCACCACAAAGUUAGUCCUCCCCAGAGGAAAAGUAGAAGAACCCACAGCGGAGACACUUUUACAAACCAUGCAUCUCGAAGACAAAGGGAAGAAAGGAAAAACCGAUCAAAAACGAAAGAGAAAGAGGAAAGGAUAGCGCAUCUGGCAACAAUGGGCGCCACCACUGGUCGCCGCAGAAAAAAACAUGGCGAAGAUUAAAGUAGAGUCUUGAAACGAGAGGUUGGAGGUUUUCCACGUUUAAUUUCGUAAUUACCUUAGGUUAUCC
Molecule: long non-coding RNA, 423 nt
Filed under: Brassica napus (rape)
Lineage: Eukaryota; Viridiplantae; Streptophyta; Magnoliopsida; Brassicales; Brassicaceae
Description: long non-coding RNA (BNAP_LNC022511)
Source: RNAcentral